UGAGAAGACCGUACAAGUUGCCAUCCUUCCUUGUUAAUUGAACAAGAUUUGCAAAAAAAUAAAUUGUUUGGGGAAAUGGCUGUUAAUGUAGCUACUAACGCUAUGUAUUUUGAAAGAUGAGGUGUUGAGGAUUAUGAAUAAGCAAUGAGGCAUGGGGGGGGGGUGUUCUAGCCAAUAUACCAUGGCUAAGAGCUGUUCUUAGGCAUGGCGUAUUGCAGUGUUCCUGGAUGUAGCACUUGUGUUGGCGAUAUACAACCAACCCCUAAGGUUGCUUGCUAUUAUGAAGCACGUACGCAAUUAUUACAGUAAAAAGUUGUGAUGUCAUGAUUGUGGCACGUGUUCUCAUACCGCAGUUUUCAGCCAAUCGGGCUUCAAACCACCCGGUUUAUAAAAAUGUUUGAUGUCAUGCAAUCCAGCUACACUAGUUUCAGUUAAAACACUUCAGAGUUCCAUAUCAGAAAAGCCAUGUCAUAUUCUGUGUCAGUUUUUUUUUUAUGUGUAACAUUUUUCUAUGAAUGUAAUAGUUAACACAGCCUGACUCUUUGCACAGCUUACUUAAAAGCAACCUAUGAUUCCUGAAUCCAAGGUACAGUAAUUCUGUAGUUGCUUGUACGGAAUAUUAAAUAAGUUGUCAUGUCUGUGGUGAACUGUUUUGAUCGCAACCUUUUUUUUUUUUAAAGGGAUCCUUGAUUUUACUUUUGCUUUUGUAAUCAUGUUCCUUGUUUGGAUUAAAGGUUUUGAGUGUGUGACUUUCUGGUAUGUGGCUUUGCCGUUUGGUUUUCUGUAGUAUUUACAUUUGUUUAACAAAAGCAAUGGAAAAGCGAAUUCAGGGUUUCCUAUUUCUUGCCAGUGAUGAAGUAAGCUAAGGAUCAUAUUACUGGAUCUAAUGGUCUUCUAUUCAAAGGGCAUUGCACAUGUAACAUUUUACAUUAAUUCUCAUUUUACUGCAUCAUAUCACAAGGCCCACAUGGACAGAAUUGGAUUUAGUUGAACAUAUUUUUCUUGCCUUUUUGUUUGCCCCUUCCUGUUACUAAAUUGUUGUAUACUGUAGCCUCACUGAAUAAAAGCUUAGGAUUAUGUGCUGUUUUCAGAGGGUUCAAACUUUUUUUCUUUUUUCCCCACAGUCAAUGUAAUGUUUUUUAUUUUUAUCAAUGGGUGCCUUUUGUUUGUAAACCAAAAAGGAAUAAACUCUUAAAU
Molecule: long non-coding RNA, 1197 nt
Organism: Esox lucius (northern pike)
Lineage: Eukaryota; Metazoa; Chordata; Actinopteri; Esociformes; Esocidae
Source: Ensembl